Molecule: ribosomal RNA, 253 nt
Filed under: uncultured bacterium
Lineage: Bacteria
Description: partial 16S ribosomal RNA
Rfam family: Bacterial small subunit ribosomal RNA
Source: RNAcentral
UACAGAGGGGGCAAGCGUUAUUCGGAAUUAUUGGGCGUAAAGGGCGCGUAGGCGGCUCAUGAAGGCUGUGGUGAAAGUCCGGGGCUCAACCUCGGAUCGGCCGUGGCGACUCGUGGGCUGGAGCACUGUAGAGGCGGGUGGAAUUCCGGGUGUAGCGGUGGAAUGCGUAGAGAUCCGGAAGAACACCAGUGGCGAAGGCGGCCCGCUGGGCAGUGGCUGACGCUGAGGCGCGACAGCGUGGGGAGCAAACAGG